UUCAGAGUACACAGAAAUUUGAAUUUUUUACUCCAUUUAUGGAAAUGUACAGAAUCCUAGUGCCUUCCAGAGUGACUCUGGCCUUUUUUUUUUUCUUUUCUUCCCUUCUCCCUUCCCUCAUCCCCUCCUCCUCCCCCUCUUCUUCUUCUGCUUCUUCUUUCCCUUCUUCUUUCUCCUCCUCUUCUUCCUCCUCCUCCUCUGAAGUUAAGAGAAGCUAAUUAACAUGUCUAAAAUCAUAAAACUAGUCCAUAAUGAAAUUAAAAUCCUUGGUUUCUGAUUUGGGCAGUGCAGUGCGUGUUAGUGAACAGCUUCUGAAGACCUUUAGGAAAGUUGUAUGAAAACUGAUUUCAAUCUUGGUCAAAAACUGGAAGAGCUGGCAAAUGCAACUGUCUGGGUAUUUGAAGGUGGUAGGAUUAGGGAGCUGAGAGAGACCUUGUCAGACAGAGUGAUUGGAAUCACCUGGAGCUUUCAAAAACAGCCCUGAUGUUUGAGUUCUAUCUCUCCCAGAUCCUGGUUUAAUUGGUCUUCUGUGCAGCCUGGGAUCUGGAUUUUUUUAAAGGUCCCAGAUGGUUCUAAUAUGCAACCAGGUUGAUGGCCAGUGAGUGUUCCCAUGUGACAGCGUACUUCCCUAAGCUCACCCAGGCACACUCAUCAGUCAAGACCUACCUGUGGACUCUUACAUCGACAAGGACUCUGUCUAGAUUCAUAUGUUUAUGCAUCAAUACAAAAAGCGAGUAUUUGUCAUCUCAUAUUUUUGAACAAGAUGGCACAUCAAAACAUAUACUGGAGACACAGAGAGAGAGAGAGACAGGCAGAGGGAGAAGCAGUCUCCCCACAAGGAGCCCAAUGUGGGACUUGAUCCUGGAUCCUGGAGCUGAAGGCAGAUGCUCAACCACUGAGCCACUCAGGCAUCCCAGCUCUUUUCAACCACUGAAAAAAAGUUAAGAUCAUUAUUGCAAUUUUCCUCUGAAAAAUAAAA
Molecule: long non-coding RNA, 979 nt
Organism: Canis lupus familiaris (dog)
Lineage: Eukaryota; Metazoa; Chordata; Mammalia; Carnivora; Canidae
Exons: 5
Source: RefSeq, a predicted model, not a curated record